GACGAGCGUUGGCGGCGUGCUUAAUACAUGCAAGUCCACUGAAGCAGUGGUAGCAAUAUCGCUGUGGAGGUGGCGCACGGGUGAGUAACACGUAGGUAAUCUGCCUUCAGGUCUGGCAUAACUCCGGGAAACCGGGGCUGAUAGCAGAUGAUGCAGCGGCUCGACAUCGAGACAGUUGUUAAAGCUAUGGCGCCUGAAGAUGAGCCUGCGUCUGAUUAGCUAGUUGGCGGGGUAACGGCCCACCAAGGCAACGAUCAGUAGCUGGUCUGAGAGGAUGAUCAGCCACACUGGAACUGAGACACGGUCCAGACUCCUACGGGAGGCAGCAGUAAGGAAUAUUGCUCAAUGGGAGAAAUCCUGAAGCAGCAACGCCGCGUGAGGGACGAAGGGCUUUUGCUUGUAAACCUCUGUAGUGAGAGAAAAAAAUCCCAAUCUUUGGGACAUGAUGGUAUCUCAAAAGUAAGCCCCGGCUAACUACGUG
Molecule: ribosomal RNA, 481 nt
Filed under: uncultured bacterium
Lineage: Bacteria
Description: partial 16S ribosomal RNA
Rfam family: Bacterial small subunit ribosomal RNA
Source: RNAcentral